AACGAACGCUGGCGGCAGGCCUAACACAUGCAAGUCGAACGAGAAGCUAGAGCUUGCUCUAGUGGAAAGUGGCAGACGGGUGAGUAACGCGUGGGAAACUACCCAGUAGUACGGAACAACAGUUGGAAACGACUGCUAAUACCGUAUACGCCCUCAGGGGGAAAGAUUUAUCGCUAUUGGAGGUGCCCGCGUUGGAUUAGCUUGUUGGUGAGGUAACGGCUCACCAAGGCGACGAUCCAUAGCUGGUCUGAGAGGAUGAUCAGCCACACUGGAACUUAGACACGGUCCAGACUCCUACGGGAGGCAGCAGUGGGGAAUCUUGCACAAUGGGCGAAAGCCUGAUGCAGCCAUGCCGCGUGAGUGAAGAAGGCCCUAGGGUUGUAAAGCUCUUUCGUCGGUGAAGAUAAUGACGGUAGCCGAAGAAGAAGCCCCGGCUAACUCCGUG
RNAcentral lists this ribosomal RNA (445 nucleotides) under uncultured bacterium. RNAcentral describes it as "bacterial SSU rRNA". It matches the Rfam family "Bacterial small subunit ribosomal RNA", at positions 29 to 507 of the family's 1533-position model. The record is from RNAcentral.